This 116-nucleotide ribosomal RNA is filed under the name Treponema sp. Lineage: Bacteria; Pseudomonadati; Spirochaetota; Spirochaetia; Treponematales; Treponemataceae. The record is from RNAcentral.
CCCGGUGGCUAUGGCGGGGGUGCCAUACCCGUUCCCAUCCCGAACACGGAAGUCAAGCCCCCUUGCGCCGAUGGUACUGCGCCCUUAAGACGCGGGAGAGUAGGCAGCCGCCGGGC